Molecule: ribosomal RNA, 136 nt
Filed under: Clostridiales bacterium
Lineage: Bacteria; Bacillati; Bacillota; Clostridia; Eubacteriales
Description: partial 23S ribosomal RNA
Rfam family: Bacterial large subunit ribosomal RNA
Source: RNAcentral
AAGCCCCCCUCAAGAUAAGAUAUCCCAUAGCACAAGCUAGUAAGACCCCUGAAAGACGAUCAGGUUGAUAGGACAGAGAUGGAAGUGUGGUAACACAUGUAGUUGACUGUUACUAAUAGGUCGAGGGCUUAACCAA